RNAcentral lists this ribosomal RNA (585 nucleotides) under uncultured bacterium. Its description in RNAcentral is "partial 16S ribosomal RNA". It matches the Rfam family "Bacterial small subunit ribosomal RNA", at positions 355 to 932 of the family's 1533-position model. The record is from RNAcentral.
UGGGGAAUAUUGCACAAUGGGCGCAAGCCUGAUGCAGCCAUGCCGCGUGUGUGAAGAAGGCCUUCGGGUUGUAAAGCACUUUCAGCGAGGAGGAAGGUGGUGAGCUUAAUACGCUCAUCAAUUGACGUUACUCGCAGAAGAAGCACCGGCUAACUCCGUGCCAGCAGCCGCGGUAAUACGGAGGGUGCAAGCGUUAAUCGGAAUUACUGGGCGUAAAGCGCACGCAGGCGGUUUGUUAAGUCAGAUGUGAAAUCCCCGGGCUCAACCUGGGAACUGCAUUUGAAACUGGCAAGCUAGAGUCUCGUAGAGGGGGGUAGAAUUCCAGGUGUAGCGGUGAAAUGCGUAGAGAUCUGGAGGAAUACCGGUGGCGAAGGCGGCCCCCCUGGACGAAGACUGACGCUCAGGUGCGAAAGCGUGGGGCAGCAAACAGGAUUAGAUACCCUGGUAGUCCAGCGCUGUAAACGAUGUCGAUUUGGAGGUUGUGCCCUUGAGGCGUGGCUUCCGGAGCUAACGCGUUAAAUCGACCGCCCCGGGGGAGUACGGCCGCAAGGUUAAAACUCAAAGGAAUUGACGGGGUCAUAGCUG